UGGUAAUGCCGGAUGUUCCACAUGAUCGCAUGUGAUUGUGGGAAAGAUUCUAUCGGCGUGGGAUGGGGUCGCGUCCUAUCAGCUUGUUGGUGAGGUAACGGCUCACCAAGGCUUCGACGGGUAGCCGGCCUGAGAGGGCGACCGGCCACAUUGGGACUGAGAUACGGCCCAGACUCCUACGGGAGGCAGCAGUGGGGAAUAUUGCACAAUGGGCGCAAGCCUGAUGCAGCGACGCCGCGUGAGGGAUGGAGGCCUUCGGGUUGUAAACCUCUUUUGUUUGGGAGCAAGCCUUCGGGUGAGUGUACCUUUCGAAUAAGCGCCGGCUAACUACGUGCCAGCAGCCGCGGUAAUACGUAGGGCGCAAGCGUUAUCCGGAUUUAUUGGGCGUAAAGGGCUCGUAGGCGGCUCGUCGCGUCCGGUGUGAAAGUCCAUCGCUUAACGGUGGAUCUGCGCCGGGUACGGGCGGGCUGGAGUGCGGUAGGGGAGACUGGAAUUCCCGGUGUAACGGUGGAAUGUGUAGAUAUCGGAAAAGAAACACC
This 539-nucleotide ribosomal RNA is filed under the name Bifidobacterium bifidum. RNAcentral describes it as "bacterial SSU rRNA". It matches the Rfam family "Bacterial small subunit ribosomal RNA", at positions 161 to 710 of the family's 1533-position model. Lineage: Bacteria; Bacillati; Actinomycetota; Actinomycetes; Bifidobacteriales; Bifidobacteriaceae. The record is from RNAcentral.